UGGGGAAUAUUGCACAAUGGGCGGAAGCCUGAUGCAGCGACGCCGCGUGGGGGAUGAAGGCCUUCGGGUUUUAAACUCCUUUCGACAGGGACGAAGCUUUUGUGACGGUACCUGUAUAAGAAGCACCGGCUAACUACGUGCCAGCAGCCGCGGUCAUACGUAGGGUGCGAGCGUUGUCCGGAAUUACUGGGCGUAAAGAGCUCGUAGGUGGUUUGUCGCAUCGUCUGUGAAAUUCCGGGGCUUAACUCCGGGCGUGCAGGCGAUACGGGCUGACUUGAGUGCUGUAGGGGAGACUGGAAUUCCUGGUGUAGCGGGGAAAAGCGCAGAUAUCAGGAGGAACACCGAUGGCGAAGGCAGGUCUCUGGGCAGUAACUGACGCUGAGGAGCGAAAGCAUGGGUAGCGAACAGG
Molecule: ribosomal RNA, 409 nt
Filed under: Actinomycetes bacterium
Lineage: Bacteria; Bacillati; Actinomycetota; Actinomycetes
Description: Actinobacteria bacterium partial 16S ribosomal RNA
Rfam family: Bacterial small subunit ribosomal RNA
Source: RNAcentral